Long non-coding RNA from Dromaius novaehollandiae (emu), 1502 nucleotides. RefSeq lists it as uncharacterized. The transcript is spliced from 2 exons. The record is from RefSeq and is a predicted model, not a curated record. NCBI's taxonomy places the organism in Eukaryota, Metazoa, Chordata, Aves, Casuariiformes, Dromaiidae.
GCCGUGUGCGCACCCCGCGCCCCAGGCUGCCGGCGGGCCCGCGGCCCCCUUACCUGCGGGCGCGGCCCCUCGGCGCGGCGGGUCCCCGCUCCGCCCUGGCGCCCGCCGCUCUCCUCGGCGGCGUGGGCAGCCGCCCGUCCCGCAGCCCGGCGAGCAGGAGGGCUCAGCGCCCGGCUGCCCUGCGGCCGCGCUGCACCGCGGGGAGCGCCGCAGCCCCGAGCGGGGCCGCUUCCAGCCGGCGCGGCGGUAACUCGGCUGCGGCGGCCGCGGAGGGGGGAGGAAGAGCGAUCGCGCCUCAAAACGCGAAGGGAACAGAACAAACUGCCGAUCCAAAUCCGGAAGGGAGAAGCAGCCAGGCUUUUCCGACGAAAUCCGUUUUAUUGGAAAACACCCGCCGAAAUCGACCCGCCGGCUCUACUUAGAUCUGCUGUCCUUUUAUAAACUGUCGCUCCGGCUCCGGCCCCGGCCCCGGCCCCAGACGUGACGCCGAAAUCGUUUUAGCUGCAGCGGCUUUCGCUUGGCUUCGCCCGCUCGUAAAUUUACCGCAGCCGGAGCAGGAUUAGCCAUUUUUGCCGGCAACACGGCGCUCUAGCUGCUCAAAGACGGGACCGGUGCACGGGGAAGCGGCGGGCGGGGGGGAGGAGAGGACAAGAGCAGGCUGCGGCGAGCGGCGGAAUGGCCAGACGGAUGCAAACAUGCAUAAAUACACAGGUGGUUUUGGUACACGAACAAGUUUAGAAACGGGAAACCCUGUGUUUCCACAGCAGAAAAUGCGUCUGGGUAUAUACUUUGUCGAAAUAUACCAAAGGGAGCCGCUGUGCAGUGAAUGAUCAAAGGUGGGGUCACAUACCGCUGAUCUUUAAAGCAGAACCUGCGCCUACCUACUAUGUGAUGUUCUGAAGAAACAAUAAAAUAGCGUUUUGUAAAAAAGCAGAAGUUAUGAAUAUUUCAUCCUAUUUGAGCCUUUUUUUCUCCUCGUUUUGAAAAGCUACGGACACAGACCUUCAGUUGUAAGAAGUCCAGAGCAUAGUAUGGGAUACUAAUAUGACUAUGGGUUAGACCCGUGAACAACUGUCUCAAAAAUUACCCCUCAUUUCUAAGCCUCCUAACUUCAGUGCCAGCGUAGGUGCACACUCCAAUGCGUUGAUCAAAAAUGUGUCGAGCACCUGACGUGCUAUAGAGGCUAUUGGUAGAACUCACUUUGCCUAGCACGGGACUGCCUUUUCACUGUUUAGGGGCAAAGCGGGAGGAAAAUGUCCUAUUGCUGUAUGAGGCAUGAGGCUUUCCAACGUGUCUUGCUGAAAUGUGCGAGUUUAGAAGUUGCACAGCAGUGUCUCCGUGACUGAUACGAAUGUCUGCUCUGAACCCUCAGUGUAGUUAAACAGCUGCUGAACGUUUAUCAAUGUUACCUACGUUGACAGCGUGGAAAACACCGAUACAGCAAGCAAUGAUAUUUUGUAUCAGAGCAUUUCACUUGAAAAUAAACAAAUCAAUGGCUGUGA